GAAGCCGGGUUACGGUGCCCAA
This 22-nucleotide small nuclear RNA is filed under the name Arabidopsis thaliana (thale cress). RNAcentral describes it as "snRNA_01112". The record is from RNAcentral. Lineage: Eukaryota; Viridiplantae; Streptophyta; Magnoliopsida; Brassicales; Brassicaceae.